RNAcentral lists this long non-coding RNA (828 nucleotides) under Coturnix japonica (Japanese quail). RNAcentral describes it as "lncRNA (ENSCJPG00005000872.1)". Lineage: Eukaryota; Metazoa; Chordata; Aves; Galliformes; Phasianidae. The record is from RNAcentral.
AGCUUUUGCCAAUGCAAUACCAUUUUUUUUCUCCUUUCAUAAAUGCAUGCAGUUGUUUUCAAAGUCUAUCUGAAAAUAUUAACAAGUGCUGAAAGAACCCACUGAAGAAAAACUACAGAGCACCUCCUUGCACCUUCUUGCCCAAAUCAGUUUUAGCUGGGAUUUUCCAUUACAAGUAGCAGAUUAUUCUUAAAGAAAACCUAAAUAAUGCUGCAGCGUCUGGGUCUAAUGGUCUCUAAUGGACUCAAUUAGCCACACCUGGGCCUGUCCUCACCCCAGAGUCCCAAAUACCACUUAGCUCAGCUGAAGAGAGUCUGUCUACGGUUAUUGCAACAUCCUGGCUGGUUGACUGGACCUGCAUGCUGCAGUGAGGGUGAGAUGGUUGCCUUGCCAAUGUUACUGCUGCUAUUGCUCCUGCUUUGCCAUCCUGGGGGUCUGUGGUCCCUAUCAGGUGAUAUGAACAAAGCCAUUACUUUUGACUUUCGAUUAAAUCGAAUGCAAACAAACUUGAUGAAGAGUGUGACAAAAGAAGAACUACUGUGCAGGGUCUGUGAAUCAUGUUCCUAAUGAGUCAUCUUAGACCCAGUACAGUAAACUUCCCCUUGAGAAACGGAGUGACCACAAAGAAGAAACAAGCCAAGAGCCUGAUUUUGAACAAUUUCAGAAAAGGGCUUUAAUCUUUUUGCUGUCACCUGACAACAUUAUGAAAGGGAUAUGGUCUGUCUUGUCUUUCCUGUGUCAGAUACUCCUGUAAGUAUAAAUGAAGAUAUUGUGGGAUCAUUUGUUUUGGUUGCUCUACUAAAUAAAUUGAAACAGCAAAGCCUGUCA